Triticum dicoccoides is the source of this 1805-nucleotide RNA transcript. It is a transcript of the gene named putative RNA-binding protein Luc7-like 2, with no coding region annotated. Lineage: Eukaryota; Viridiplantae; Streptophyta; Magnoliopsida; Poales; Poaceae. The record is from RefSeq and is a predicted model, not a curated record. The transcript is spliced from 12 exons.
UCCGUCUUUAGGCUUGGGGCUGGAGAGGAGAGCGCCCCGACUCGUCUCGCUCGUCGGGUAGAAACCCUAGCUUCGUAUAAACCCAACCCCCCCGCCUCGCCGGAGCGGCGGCAGCAGCCGGAGGCGCCGGCCGCCAUGGACGCGAUGCGGAAGCAGCUGGACGUGCUGAUGGGGGCCAACCGCAACGGCGACGUGCGGGAGGUCAACCGCAAGUACUUCGACCGCGACGUCUGCCGCCUCUUCCUCGCCGGCCUCUGCCCCCACGACCUCUUCCAGCUCACGAAAAUGGAUCUCGGACCCUGCCCCAAGGUCCACUCGCUUCAGCUGCGGAAAGACUAUGAAGAGGUAAAAGCAAAGGGGUCGGAGAAUUUCGACAGGGAGCUCGAGGACAUGAUAGACAGGCUCAUCGUGGAGUGUGAGCGGAAAAUCCAGAGGGCGCUGAAGCGCCUCGCCGACGAGGAUGCCAAGGCUGCUAUCGCGAUAUCUGUGUCCGAGGUCACUCAGUCUGAAGAAGUUGCGCAGCUGUCAAAGGAAAUCAAGGAGAAGAUGAAAGAAGCUGAUAUCUUCGAUUUUGAAGGGAAGACUGAUGAUAAAAUCAAGACCAUGGAAUUGGUCGAAGAAUUAAGAUCUAAAAGGGCUGACCUGCAGGCUACCCUCUUGCUUGAUGCCUUUAACAAGGACCGAGCUGCAAUACCUCAACCUAUUCCACCUCCUCAAAUGGCAACACUGCCAGCACCUCCUCCUCCUGAUGCUCGUACUCAAGAACUGAUCAAUGAGAAGCUAAGUAAAGCUGAAGCCCUUGGUGAACAAGGGAUGGUAGAAGAAGCGCAGAAGGCUUUAGAAGAAGCAGAAGCUCUCAAAAAGUUGGCAGCGGCACGGCAGGAGCCAGUUGCUGAUCCUUCUAAAUACAGUGUUGCUGAUGUCCGAAUUACUGAUCAGAAGUUGCGCCUCUGUGACAUAUGUGGAGCAUUUUUGAGUGUCUAUGACAAUGAUCGACGUCUUGCUGACCAUUUUGGAGGGAAGCUACACUUGGGUUAUAUGUUGAUUCGUGAGAAACUGAAAGAACUCCAGGUGCUGAAUGUAAUGUCCCAUUUUCUGCUUUAAAGAGUUACUCUGUUUUGGGCCUUUUGGCAUCUGUGAGUUUUCUCAUCUCAAGGAAGAGCCUUCAGGUUCUUGCCUUCUCUAUAUGUUAAUUUUAUCUCACAUUGGAGGGCGCCAUGGUUGUUACGAUAGUCAUUACAGGAAUUAGUCAAUGUUGCAUAAGCGGAAUCUCAUGUGACAAUCGUCCUCCUUCCCAUGGCAACAACAGCUGCCAACUGUAUGUUGACAAAUGUAAGCAUAAGAGUGAGCAGAACAUGGUAUGGAGAAUCAUGUUUACUUAAUUGUGUCAGCUUUCUCAUAUAUACUGAUCAGAAGCUGGAGCUUGCUUUCUGCUUGGUGAUCCAUAUUUUGUAGAGCUGGUGAUAAAUAGUACCGGUUAAGUUACCCUGAAAGCGCACCCUUUUGCCAUCUUUUCCUGUAAGUUACAACCUGUUCAAUAUGCUGCCUGCUCCAUAAAUAUGUAAGUUGUCAUUGUCAGAAAAUCUCAACUGUAAUGUAUCCCUUGCCCUUUUCAUUCCGUCGUCGUAUGAAUCGAGCUAUCUCCACUCGGUAAGCAUCUCUAUAUUGUGAAUAAUGUUAUUCUAAAACCAUGUCAUAUUUGCCUUUUAGGAGGAGAGGACCAAAAAAAGGACCGAGAAACCUGAAGAUGACAGACGAUCAAGGGAAAACAGCAGGGACCGCAAUGGGCGGGCAUCCAGGGAUAG